AGUGAAAUAUUUUUUGAACCUAUUUGCUUUAGUAAAGCUUUAGCUCUGGAAGGUGAAAUUUUAUAUCCUGGAAUUCACCCAUGAGCUCAGCUUAUAGGAACAUUGAAUAUAAUAAUUUGCUUUUUACAGAGACUGGAAAUUACAGAGUUGAUGACAGGAGAAACCGAUUCUCUCUGAAGAUGAAAUAUUGA
This 191-nucleotide long non-coding RNA is filed under the name Capra hircus (goat). Its description in RNAcentral is "lncRNA (ENSCHIG00000000655.1)". Lineage: Eukaryota; Metazoa; Chordata; Mammalia; Artiodactyla; Bovidae. The record is from RNAcentral.